Molecule: small nuclear RNA, 105 nt
Organism: Acomys russatus (golden spiny mouse)
Lineage: Eukaryota; Metazoa; Chordata; Mammalia; Rodentia; Muridae
Source: RefSeq, a predicted model, not a curated record
GCUCCCUUCAGGGGCACCUAUACUAAAAUUGGAAUGAUACAGAGGAGGUUUGCUUAACUCCUGAACAAGGAUGUCAUAUAAAUUCAUGAAGCAUUCCUUAUUUAA